RNA transcript from Eriocheir sinensis (Chinese mitten crab), 4486 nucleotides. It is a transcript of the gene named complement component receptor 1-like protein, with no coding region annotated. The record is from RefSeq and is a predicted model, not a curated record. The transcript has 11 exons. Lineage: Eukaryota; Metazoa; Arthropoda; Malacostraca; Decapoda; Varunidae.
UUCUGUUGUAUUAUCUUUUAUUCUGUUGUAUUCUGUUGUAUUAUCUUUUAUUCUGUUGUAUUCUCUUAUAUUCUGUUGUAUUCUCUUUUAUUCUGUUGUAUUCUGUUGUAUUCUCUUUUAUUCUGUUGUAUUCUGUUGUAUUAUCUUUUAUUCUGUUGUAUUCUGUUGUAUUCUCUUUUAUUCUGUUGUAUUCUGUUGUAUUAUCUUUUAUUCUGUUGUAUUCUGUUGUAUUCUCUUUUAUUCUGUUGUAUUCUGUUGUAUUCUCUUUUAUUCUGUUGUAUUCUGUUGUAUUAUCUUUUAUUCUGUUGUAUUCUCUUUUAUUCUGUUGUAUUCUGUUGUAUUCUCUUUUAUUCUGUUGUAUUCUGUUGUAUUCUCUUUUAUUCUGUUGUAUUCUGUUGUAUUAUCUUUUAUUCUGUUGUAUUCUCUUUUAUUCUGUUGUAUUCUGUUGUAUUAUCUUUUAUUCUGUUGUAUUCUGUUGUAUUCUCUUUUAUUCUGUUGUAUUCUGUUGUAUUAUCUUUUAUUCUGUUGUAUUCUCUUUUAUUCUGUUGUAUUCUGUUGUAUUCUCUUUUAUUCUGUUGUAUUCUGUUGUAUUCUCUUUUAUUCUGUUGUAUUCUGUUGUAUUCUCUUUUAUUCUUUUGUAUUCUCUUUUAUUCUGUUGUAUUCUGUUGUAUUCUCUUUUAUUCUGUUGUAUUCUGUUGUAUUCUCUUUUAUUCUGUUGUAUUCUGUUGUAUUCUCUUUUAUUCUGUUGUAUUCUGUUGUAUUAUCUUUUAUUCUGUUGUAUUCUGUUGUAAUCUGUUGUAUUCUCUUUUAUUCUGUUGUAUUCUGUUGUAUUAUCUUUUAUUCUGUUGUAUUCUCUUUUAUUCUGUUGUAUUCUGUUGUAUUCUCUUUUAUUCUGUUGUAUUCUGUUGUAUUCUCUUUUAUUCUGUUGUAUUCUCUUUUAUUCUGUUGUAUUCUGUUGUAUUCUGUUGUAUUCUCUUUUAUUCUGUUGUAUUCUGUUGUAUUCUCUUUUAUAUAUGUUGUAUUCUGUUGUAUUCUCUUUUAUUCUGUUGUAUUCUAUUGUAUUAUCUUUUAUUCUGUUGUAUUCUGUUGUAUUCUCUUUUAUUCUGUUGUAUUCUGUUGUUUUCUCUUUUAUUCUGUUGUAUUCUGUUGUAUUCUCUUUUAUUCUGUUGUAUUCUGAUGUAUUCUGUUGUAUUAUCUUUUAUUCUGUUGUAUUCUGUUGUAUUCUCUUUUAUUCUGUUGUGUUCUGUUGUAUUAUCUUUUAUUCUUUUGUAUUCUCUUUUAUUCUGUUGUAUUCUGUUGUAUUAUCUUUUAUUCUGUUGUAUUCUCUUUUAUUCUGUUGUAUUCUGUUGUAUUCCCUUUAUUCUGUUGUAUUCUGUUGUAUUCUCUUUUAUUCUGUUGUAUUCUCUUUUAUUUUGUUGUAUUCUGUUGUAUUCUGUUGUAUUCUCUUUUAUUCUGUUGUAUUCUCUUUUAUUCUGUUGUAUUCUGUUGUAUUCUCUUUUAUUCUGUUGUAUUCUGUUGUAUUAUCUUUUAUUCUGUUGUAUUCUGUUGUAUUCUCUUUUAUUCUGUUGUAUUCUGUUGUAUUCUCUUUUAUUCUGUUGUAUUCUGUUGUAUUAUCUUUUAUUCUGUUGUAUUCUCUUUUAUUCUGUUGUAUUCUGUUGUAUUCUCUUUUAUUCUGUUGUAUUCUCUUUUAUUCUGUUGUAUUCUGUUGUAUUCUCUUUUAUUCUGUUGUAUUCUGUUGUAUUCUCUUUUAUUCUGUUGUAUUCUGUUGUAUUAACUGUUGUAUUCUCUUUUAUUCUGUUGUAUUCUGUUGUAUUCUCUUUUAUUCUGUUGUAUUCUGUUGUAUUCUCUUUUAUUCUGUUGUAUUCUGUUGUAUUCUCUUUUAUUCUGUUGUAUUCUGUUGUAUUAUCUUUUAUUCUGUUGUAUUCUCUUUUAUUCUGUUGUAUUCUGUUGUAUUCUCUUUUAUUCUGUUGUAUUCUGUUGUAUUAUCUUUUAUUCUGUUGUAUUCUCUUUUAUUCUGUUGUAUUCUCUUUUAUUCUGUUGUAUUCUGUUGUAUUCUCUUUUAUUCUGUUGUAUUCUGUUGUAUUCUCUUUUAUUCUGUUGUAUUCUCUUUUAUUCUGUUGUAUUCUCUUUUAUUCUCUUGUAUUCUGUUGUAUUCUCUUUUAUUCUGUUGUAUUCUGUUGUAUUCUCUUUUAUUCUGUUGUAUUCUGUUGUAUUCUCUUUUAUUCUGUUGUAUUCUGUUGUAUUCUCUUUUAUUCUGUUGUAUUCUGUUGUAUUCUCUUUUAUUCUGUUGUAUUCUGUUGUAUUCUCUUUUAUUCUGUUGUAUUCUGUUGUAUUCUCUUUUAUUCUGUUGUAUUCUGUUGUAUUAUCUUUUAUUCUGUUGUAUUCUCUUUUAUUCUGUUGUAUUCUGUUGUAUAACUGAUUUUUAUGUUUUGGGGGGAAUUUCACGCAAGUUUUCCAGGCCGAUAUUACCCUUAAUAUUGAGUGUAGCGUUAUGCAGAGGCCAGAAAUGAACUCCCCGUCUCGUUUUACCCAAGAAGAGUCACCGUUUUCAUGAAAAUAACCUCAAAUAACAUAAAUAUAGCUGAUUUUCAUGUUUUUGGAGGAAUUUCACGCGAGCUUUCCGGGCCAAUAUCUUCCUUAAUAUUGAGUGUAGCGUUAUGCCGAGGCCAGAAUUGGAUUCCUCAUCUCGUUUUACUAAAACAAAAGUCACCGUUUGCAUGAAAAUAACAUAAAUAUAGGUUAUUUUCAUGUUUUGGGGUGAAUUUCUCGCGAGCUUUCCGGGCCGAUAUCUCCCUUAAUAUUGAGUGUAGCGUUAUGACGAGGCCAGAAAUGGAUUCCUCGUCUUAUUUUACCCAAGAAGAGUCGCCGUUUGCAUGAAAAUAGCUUCAAAUAACAUAAAUAUAAUUGAUUUUCAUGUUUUUUUGAUAAUUUCACGCUAGUUUUCCGUGCCGAUAUCUCCCUUAAUAUUUAGUGUAUCGUUAUGCCGAGGCCAGAAAUGGAUUCCUCGUCUCGUUUCCUUCUCGUUUAGUCGCCUUUUGCAGGACAUGGCCGCUUUUUAUUUUAUUUUUUUUAUUUUUCUAGGGACCCAAAGUAUAACACUUUCACCUCAAGUACGAGAGUCCAGUGCGGGACACCUGCCGAUCUCUGAGCCCCACACUGCUUUUAUCACCCAAAUAACCGCCUUCACAUAUGAUUAUUGUUUAAAGGGUUAAUUAUUGGGGCUUCUUGGCAUCAGGUAUGGGUCAGAAGCCGGUAAAUGCGCGGCUUUGAGUACGAUAAUCUAGCAUCGGUGCGCGGUAAAAAAUCAUAACACAGCUGAUCGUCCACGCAGUUCCUCCUUCACGACGUGUUUUGAGAGGUGUUUGCAGUGUUUUUGGCGAAACCGUGCGCUGAAUGGAUGACUUUUUAAUGCUGGAGGUCCACUCCCUGACGCCCCGCCCUGCACGUCACGACCUGCCCCGGCAUCAGUUGAGUGUCCAGAGGAAGGAAAGAAGAGAGAAAGGAAGGAAAGCGGUGGCACUGCCCGGCACUUCCUCAAGAAGGCUCUCCUGCCCCUGACUGGCUGGUGUGACAGUCUGCUGCUUCUUGAAACCACUACAUGCGUGAGAUGACCCGACCCGCCCCGCCCCAACCAACCAUCAUGACCUGCCCGCCCCCUGGCAUACAUUGUUUCCAGAAACCCCUAAAUGACCGACUCUUCCAUGCCUGAGAUGACCCGCCCUGCCCUGCGUCAUGACCUCCCGGCAUACAUUGGUUUUGGGCGCCCAGCCGUACACGUGAACUAACAGUCUUGGCUUCAGGGCAGGUCGCUAAAAUGGUAUGUGUGUGUGUGUGUGUGCCGGCAGGUGUGUGAGGUGCCAGGUCAGGUGUGCCAGCGUUAGUUACCCCGUUAGGAGCGAUUCUAACACCCGCGUCAUCGGGGGCCGCCGGACCUGAGCCCAGCCCCGUACAGACAGUUUUUCUUACGUUGUGUCACUAAUUAUCGUUUGCAAGAGUCGCCACAACGCCCCACGCAUUCACUGUCGAUGGGGAAAGGCUUUCCUACACUGGCGUUAGCGUAGAUGAUGUAAUAUUGCAGAAAACAAGCUCAAAUGUUCUCGGCGGGCGGAGCGGGGCGGGGCGGGGCAGUUUGACAUUCACCUCGUAACAAAAUUUUCGUCUUCACGGCUAAAAUACAUCUUUCCUGCACUGGUCUCAUAUAUCCACGUGUGCACGGGCGUGGAAGGCUGACGUGGGUAAACCACUACAUGCCGGAGAUGACCCGACCUGCCCCCGCCCCACCUUCCUGGCCUGCCUGCCCCCUGGCAUAAAUUGUUUCCAGAAACCCCUAAAUGACCGACUCUUCCAUGCCUGAGAUGACCCGCCCUGCCCUGCGUCAUGACCUCCCGGCAUACAUUGAAACCGUGCGCUGAAUGGGUGACUUUUCAAUGCUGGAGGUCCACUCCCUGACCCCCCGCCCUGCCCCGCCUCGCAUGUCACGACCUGC